UUUCUUUUGUUUUCUUUGUUUUGUUUUCAGUUUUUCUCUGUUUUGGUUUUUGUUUGCUUUCUUAAAAAAAUAUGCAUGCUUUUUCCUUUGUUUUUUGAGUUACGAUUAUGAGUAUCUUUCUUAGUUCUCUUGACUAAAAGUCUUGUGGUGUGAUGUAAAACUUUUACUGUGCAUUUUUAGUAUGAUAGGUAGGACUAAA
Molecule: long non-coding RNA, 199 nt
Filed under: Lathyrus oleraceus (garden pea)
Lineage: Eukaryota; Viridiplantae; Streptophyta; Magnoliopsida; Fabales; Fabaceae
Description: Pisum sativum (pea) long non-coding RNA (PSAT_LNC006612)
Source: RNAcentral